This 465-nucleotide ribosomal RNA is filed under the name Vreelandella stevensii. RNAcentral's name for it is "partial 16S ribosomal RNA". It matches the Rfam family "Bacterial small subunit ribosomal RNA", at positions 338 to 795 of the family's 1533-position model. Lineage: Bacteria; Pseudomonadati; Pseudomonadota; Gammaproteobacteria; Oceanospirillales; Halomonadaceae. The record is from RNAcentral.
CCUACGGGGUGCAGCAGUGGGGAAUAUUGGACAAUGGGCGAAAGCCUGAUCCAGCCAUGCCGCGUGUGUGAAGAAGGCCUUCGGGUUGUAAAGCACUUUCAGUGGGGAAGAAAGCCUUGGGGCUAAUACCCUCGAGGAAGGACAUCACCCACAGAAGAAGCACCGGCUAACUCCGUGCCAGCAGCCGCGGUAAUACGGAGGGUGCGAGCGUUAAUCGGAAUUACUGGGCGUAAAGCGCGCGUAGGCGGUCUGAUAAGCCGGUUGUGAAAGCCCUGGGCUCAACCUGGGAACGGCAUCCGGAACUGUCAGGCUAGAGUGCAGGAGAGGAAGGUAGAAUUCCCGGUGUAGCGGUGAAAUGCGUAGAGAUCGGGAGGAAUACCAGUGGCGAAGGCGGCCUUCUGGACUGACACUGACGCUGAGGUGCGAAAGCGUGGGUAGCAAACAGGAUUAGAUACCCCAGUAGUC